RNAcentral lists this transfer RNA (74 nucleotides) under Elusimicrobia bacterium RIFOXYA2_FULL_40_6. Its description in RNAcentral is "tRNA-Arg". It matches the Rfam family "tRNA". Rfam says of the family: Transfer RNA (tRNA) molecules are approximately 80 nucleotides in length. Their secondary structure includes four short double-helical elements and three loops (D, anti-codon, and T loops). The record is from RNAcentral. RNAcentral also lists the same sequence under 1 other name. Lineage: Bacteria; Pseudomonadati; Elusimicrobiota.
GCGCCCAUAGCCCAAUUGGAUAGAGCGAACGGCUACGAACCGUUAGGCUGCAGGUUCAAAUCCUGCUGGGCGCA